UACGUAGGGUGCAAGCGUUGUCCGGAAUUAUUGGGCGUAAAGAGCUCGUAGGCGGUUUGUUGCGUCGGCUGUGAAAUCCCGAGGCUCAACCUCGGGUCUGCAGUCGAUACGAGCAAACUAGAGUGUUGCAGGGGAGACUGGAAUUGCUGGUGUAGCGGUGAAAUGCGCAGAUAUCAGGAGGAACACCGGUGGCGAAGGCGGGUCUCUGGGCCGUAACUGACGCUGAGGAGCGAAAGCGUGGGGAGCGAACAGG
RNAcentral lists this ribosomal RNA (253 nucleotides) under uncultured bacterium. RNAcentral describes it as "partial 16S ribosomal RNA". It matches the Rfam family "Bacterial small subunit ribosomal RNA", at positions 524 to 776 of the family's 1533-position model. The record is from RNAcentral.